CUUUACAAUGCAAGCACAGCUAGUAAUCCCCUUUCAGAUUUAUGUUCACAAAGCGUCUAUGGUAAUGUUAAGAAAAGCUCUUUUGACUAAAACUACACAAUGCUCUGAAGCUAGAACCUGCUUUGGUUGCAGGUCUGCACAGCGAAGUCUGUACGGUGCUUUCCCAAGCCUCUCAUCUGAACAGGAACGGGAGCACGCUGGGUUAUGUGCUGUUCACCGGGGGAGGAAGCAAUCUGCCUGUGGUGACUAAAGGCCUCCAUUCCCCUACCAAGGUCAGCAGAAGCAUCCCCUGCCUUUGGCUACAUCAUAAUUGCAUUAAUAAAGACCGCGGCUCCCAGGGGUAGAGGCUGCA
This 352-nucleotide long non-coding RNA is filed under the name Anas platyrhynchos platyrhynchos (common mallard). Its description in RNAcentral is "lncRNA (ENSAPLG00000018237.1)". Lineage: Eukaryota; Metazoa; Chordata; Aves; Anseriformes; Anatidae. The record is from RNAcentral.